This is a long non-coding RNA of Cannabis sativa, 1076 nucleotides long. RefSeq lists it as uncharacterized. The transcript has 5 exons. The record is from RefSeq and is a predicted model, not a curated record. NCBI's taxonomy places the organism in Eukaryota, Viridiplantae, Streptophyta, Magnoliopsida, Rosales, Cannabaceae.
CAAGAAAAGGGACAUUUUAUCCCACUUUUUUAGUUAACAAAAAUAAAAAAUGGGAUAAAAGAUAUAUUGAGACUUUUUAUCCCACUUUUAGAUUUGACACCUCAAAUAUGUAGCAAAUAUUUUUUUAGACAAGGGCUUUGUUUGGUAGAAUGUUAAAAAAAAAAUAUUAAAGGCAAAAAAAUAAGUUCAAGAUUCGAUUUUUAUGGGUUUGCCAAACAGGGAUUAAUUUUUUUUAGGGGAACCUUUUAUCCCGGUUAUUAGUUAAAAACCGGGAUAAAAAGUCAUCCCUAAAAUCACAGUAGUACUCAUACCAGUACAACCUCGACAACCUAACCAUCUCGCCCAAACCCAGAAACCCUUACCCAAAUCCCAUGAGACUCGAUCAUCUAUUCCAGAUUCGUCCAAAUCCGUCGAAGCAGUUCAUAAAACUAUUAAAGGUUUCAAGCAUCAAAAGCCAUGGUUAGGGUCAAGCAACUUCAUGCUUAGAAGGAAAGGAGCCUGUGCAAAGCUAUGUCUUGAAAGAAAACAAUAACCGAUUGACAACUAUGAACAUCAAGAACAACCAAUGGUCUAUGAGGAUGUAAGUCAAUGUGUAAAAUUAUGUUCGGAUAACAUUGACAAUGUUGUGGCUGAGGGUGUCAUAAUUGAGGCGGUUGGUUUCUUUUCAUAUCAUGGUGACAUAAUUUUAAAUGAUUAUGCACGGGUUCAAAUCACACAAGUUAUUCAAGGGGAAGUUGAAAUCCCAUAUCGAAGAGGUGCAAUACGCUAUGUUCGUAAUAUGCUUCAACAUUCAACUCCUAUUACAGCCAUAAAAGAAAAAUUUAGCGGCCUAUCCCAAUAUUCUGAGGACGAUCAUCUCUUACUGAUUCGAUAACAGUGGUUAAGUCAAUUGCUUCCCUUGAUAUAUAACAAUUAAUUAUAGUAGUCUUUUAUUGUAUUUUUUCAGACAUUGUGGAGUAUUUUAGAGAUUUAUCCAUAAUAUGUAAAAUGUUAUUUAAAAUUGAACUUACAAAUUAUUAUUGUUGUUAUUAAAAAUGAUAUUAAUCAUUCAUUUUUAAUUAAUUUUUUUUUAUACA